This 492-nucleotide ribosomal RNA is filed under the name uncultured bacterium. RNAcentral describes it as "partial 16S ribosomal RNA". It matches the Rfam family "Bacterial small subunit ribosomal RNA", at positions 29 to 507 of the family's 1533-position model. The record is from RNAcentral.
AGUGAACGCUGGCGGUAGGCCUAACACAUGCAAGUCGAACGGCAGCACAGUAAGAGCUUGCUCUUACGGGUGGCGAGUGGCGGACGGGUGAGGAAUACAUCGGCAUCUACUUUUUCGUGGGGGAUAACGUAGGGAAACUUACGCUAAUACCGCAUACGACCUACGGGUGAAAGCAGGGGAUCUUCGGACCUUGCGCGAUUGAAUGAGCCGAUGUCGGAUUAGCUAGUUGGCGGGGUAAAGGCCCACCAAGGCGACGAUCCGUAGCUGGUCUGAGAGGAUGAUCAGCCACACUGGAACUGAGACACGGUCCAGACUCCUACGGGAGGCAGCAGUGGGGAAUAUUGGACAAUGGGCGCAAGCCUGAUCCAGCCAUACCGCGUGAGUGAAGAAGGCCUUCGGGUUGUAAAGCCCUGUUGUUGGGAAAGAAAAGCAGCAGGUUAAUACCCCGCUGUUCUGACGGUACCCAAAGAAUAAGCACCGGCUAACUUCGUG